UGGCUCUCGCAUCGAUGAAGAACGCAGCGAAAUGCGAUAAGUAAUGUGAAUUGCAGAAUUCAGUGAAUCAUCGAAUCUUUGAACGCACCUUGCGCCCCUUGGUAUUCCGAGGGGCAUGCCUGUUUGAGUGUCAUUUAAUUAUCAAGCCCCCAAGUUGGCUCUCCUAAGCCCGCUCGGUGUCUUGGACUUUGGAGCGUGCGGGCUGAGAAUCCUGCUCCUCUCGAAAUGCAUCAGCAGAUGUCCAAGCCUUCUGCGGCGUGAUAGCUAAUCUACGUCGCGCCAAGGGGGUGUGGGGAAAGUCUGCUUCAAACAGUUGUCCAUCGCGCAACGAAAUUUCUUGACAAUUUGACCUCAAAUCAGGUAGGAUUACCCGCUGA
RNAcentral lists this unclassified non-coding RNA (377 nucleotides) under uncultured fungus. Its description in RNAcentral is "partial contains 5.8S ribosomal RNA and internal transcribed spacer 2". The stretch from base 1 to 133 matches the Rfam family "5.8S ribosomal RNA", at positions 22 to 154 of the family's 154-position model. The record is from RNAcentral. Lineage: Eukaryota; Fungi.